UCGGGUCUAUGGGCUCUACCACUG
RNAcentral lists this non-coding RNA (24 nucleotides) under Arabidopsis thaliana (thale cress). Lineage: Eukaryota; Viridiplantae; Streptophyta; Magnoliopsida; Brassicales; Brassicaceae. The record is from RNAcentral.